UACGAAGGGUGCAAACGUUGCUCGGAAUUAUUGGGCGUAAAGCGCACGUAGGCGGCUUAGCAAGUCGGAAGUGAAAUCCCUCGGCUCAACCAAGGAAGUGCUUUCGAAACUGCUGAGCUUGAGUACUUAAGAGGAUCGCGGAAUUCCCGGUGUAGAGGUGAAAUUCGUAGAUAUCGGGAGGAACACCAGUGGCGAAGGCGGCGAUCUGGAAGAUACUGACGCUGAGGUGCGAAAGCG
Molecule: ribosomal RNA, 237 nt
Filed under: uncultured bacterium
Lineage: Bacteria
Description: partial 16S ribosomal RNA
Rfam family: Bacterial small subunit ribosomal RNA
Source: RNAcentral